UACGGGGGGGUGCGAGCGUUGUCCGGAUUCACUGGGCGUAAAGGGCGCGUAGGCGGCCUGGUCAGUCGGACCUUUAAGAGCGGGGCUCAACCCCCGGAUCUGCCGUGCCGACUGUCAAACUCGAGGGCUGUAGAGGCAGACGGAAUUCCGGGUGUAGCGGUGGAAUGCGUAGAGAUCCGGAGGAAGACCGGUGGCGAAGGCGGUCUGCUGGGCAGUUUCUGACACUGAUGCGCGACAGCGUGGGGAGCAAACAGG
RNAcentral lists this ribosomal RNA (255 nucleotides) under uncultured bacterium. RNAcentral's name for it is "partial 16S ribosomal RNA". It matches the Rfam family "Bacterial small subunit ribosomal RNA", at positions 524 to 776 of the family's 1533-position model. The record is from RNAcentral.